RNAcentral lists this ribosomal RNA (328 nucleotides) under uncultured eukaryote. RNAcentral describes it as "partial 18S ribosomal RNA". It matches the Rfam family "Eukaryotic small subunit ribosomal RNA", at positions 1470 to 1796 of the family's 1831-position model. The record is from RNAcentral.
CCCUUAGACGUUCUGGGCCGCACGCGCGCUACACUGACGGAGCCAGCGAGUAUAAACCUUGGCCGAGAGGUCUGGGAAAUCUUGUGAAACUCCGUCGUGCUGGGGAUAGAGCAUUGUAAUUAUUGUUCUUCAACGAGGAAUUCCUAGUAAGCGCAAGUCAUCAGCUUGCGUUGAUUACGUCCCUGCCCUUUGUACACACCGCCCGUCGCUACUACCGAUUGAAUGGCUUAGUGAGGCUUCCGGAUUGGUUUAGAGAAGGGGGCAACUCCAUCUUGGAACCGAGAAGCUAGUCAAACUUGGUCAUUUAGAGGAAGUAAAAGUCGUAACA